RNAcentral lists this ribosomal RNA (733 nucleotides) under Salipaludibacillus sp. Its description in RNAcentral is "bacterial SSU rRNA". It matches the Rfam family "Bacterial small subunit ribosomal RNA", at positions 28 to 725 of the family's 1533-position model. Lineage: Bacteria; Bacillati; Bacillota; Bacilli; Caryophanales; Bacillaceae. The record is from RNAcentral.
GACGAACGCUGGCGGCGUGCCUAAUACAUGCAAGUCGAGCGCAGGAAGCAAGCGGAUCCCUUCGGGGUGAAGCUUGUGGAAUGAGCGGCGGACGGGUGAGUAUCACGUGGGCAACCUGCCUUGCAGACUGGGAUAACUCCGGGAAACCGGGGCUAAUACCGGAUGACCAUUUGGAUCGCAUGAUCCGGAUGUAAAAGUGGGGAAUUUAUUCCUCACACUGCGAGAUGGGCCCGCGGCGCAUUAGCUAGUUGGUAAGGUAAUGGCUUACCAAGGCAACGAUGCGUAGCCGACCUGAGAGGGUGAUCGGCCACACUGGAACUGAGACACGGUCCAGACUCCUACGGGAGGCAGCAGUAGGGAAUCAUCCGCAAUGGGCGAAAGCCUGACGGUGCAACGCCGCGUGAACGAUGAAGGUUUUCGGAUCGUAAAGUUCUGUUAUGAGGGAAGAACAAGUGCCGGUCAAAUAGGCCGGCACCUUGACGGUACCUCACGAGAAAGCCCCGGCUAACUACGUGCCAGCAGCCGCGGUAAUACGUAGGGGGCAAGCGUUGUCCGGAAUUAUUGGGCGUAAAGCGCGCGCAGGCGGUCUCUUAAGUCUGAUGUGAAAGCCCACGGCUCAACCGUGGAGGGUCAUUGGAAACUGGGAGACUUGAGUGUAGGAGAGGAAAGUGGAAUUCCACGUGUAGCGGUGAAAUGCGUAGAUAUGUGGAGGAACACCAGUGGCGAAGGCGAC